RNAcentral lists this ribosomal RNA (389 nucleotides) under Biecheleria sp. Its description in RNAcentral is "partial small subunit ribosomal RNA". It matches the Rfam family "Eukaryotic small subunit ribosomal RNA", at positions 582 to 975 of the family's 1831-position model. The record is from RNAcentral. Lineage: Eukaryota; Dinophyceae; Suessiales; Biecheleriaceae.
AUUCCAGCUCCAAUAGCGUAUAUUAAAGUUGUUGCGGUUAAAAAGCUCGUAGUUGGAUUUCUGCCGAGGAUGACCGGUCCGCCCUGUGGGUGUGCAUCUGGCUCAGCCUUGGCAUCUUCCUGAAGAACGUAGCUGCACUUGACUGUGUGGUGCGGUAUUUAGGACAUUUACUUUGAGGAAAUUAGAGUGUUUCAAGCAAGCGCACGCUUUGAAUACAUUAGCAUGGAAUAAUAAGAUAGGACCUUGGUUCUAUUUUGUUGGUUUCUAGAGCUGAGGUAAUGAUUGAUAGGGACAGUUGGGGGUAUUCGUAUUCCAUUGUCAGAGGUGAAAUUCUUGGAUUUAUGGAAGACGAACUACUGCGAAAGCAUUUACCAAGGAUGUUUUCAUCG